Musa acuminata AAA Group (dessert banana) is the source of this 4598-nucleotide long non-coding RNA. RefSeq lists it as uncharacterized. The transcript is spliced from 2 exons. Lineage: Eukaryota; Viridiplantae; Streptophyta; Magnoliopsida; Zingiberales; Musaceae. The record is from RefSeq and is a predicted model, not a curated record.
CCCAUGUGUGGAUAGAGCAAGCAAGAAGCUGUCUCCUACCAUAAAGAAGUGUGCAGUUGGUCCAGAAGGGGUUACAUUAUUCCUUGAAGAAUCAAGAUAUUGAUGUUUUUUGUGGGCAUUGGAAUAAAGCAACCCCAAACCUUCACAAUAAUUGUUGUGGUCAUCCAGCAUUGGAUCUCCCAAAGCUAUCCUCUCCACACCCACCUCAUCUCCACCGCAAGGCACCGCCACCUCCUCCUCCUCCUUUGUCAAAAGAGACUGGGAGCUGGCCGCCACCAGGUGGUGCCAAAUUCCUUGUGCUUAGAUUCCCCCCUCUCUCUCAUGGUGUGGAUUGGGAGGUGGAUGUGAGUCACCAUGACACAACUUGAAUGAGACAUUAUAUUAGGAGAAUUUGUUGUAAUUUAAUUAAUGACCAAGAUAUGUAUUAAACUGAUGAUAUUCUCUAUGACUAUCUAAAUCUAAGAAAUCUUCCUUACUCCGAUCUUUGAAAUCUCAGCACAAUAACUAUCUUUUCUUUUCAUUCUGAUUCUAAUGUAUCUUGUUGAUCCCCUUCUAUUUCUUGUAAGUUCUUCAGUUUGAUUCAUCUUUGGUAUUCAGCUCAGAAGAAUACAGUUUAGGUGUUAUAGAAGCUUACAAUAUGCUUCUAUUUAGCAGUUAAUAUUGUCUUGAGGAAUACUUAUUAUUUGAUAUCAAAUUGAUGAGGAAUUUAUGAACUUCCCUUUUAUUUUUAAUCAAUUAUUGACUUUUUUAUUUCUCUUUUUUCCCCUCUAAUUUAUGAUCACAAGGAUGAGUGCUCACCAUUUCUAGAGAGAUAAGCAUCAAAGUCACACAGCAUUACAUUCCGAAGAUAUAAAUUACUGUCACUGUGAUGGCAUGUCUCCAAGAGCCAAGAGAAGCCCUGUCACACAGGAGCUUGGAAGAUGGCCUCCGAUGGUGCCGUGGCGGUCUCCAGCCCCGAGGGCGAAGGCAACAAGAAGGAGAAGGCUCCCAAGUCUCUGGCUUCGCCGAGGAGUAGCAGUGGCAUCGGCGGCGGUGGCGGUGGCCUCUGUCUGUGCUCGCCUACCACCCACCAAGGCUCCUUCCGCUGCCGGUUCCACCGCUCUCUCUCCACCUCGUGGAUGCGGCGCUCCAAGUCCAUGCCUUCUUCCACCUCCACCUCCAACUCCUCCUCCUCCUCCCCUCCUCCUCCCCUCUUUCCCAAUCCCUUGGAGGCUACUCAGAACUAGGAUGGACCACAGCUGCGUCAUCUCUCCAUUCUGUUGCUUUCAAUACCAGACUUUGAACUGUAGAUAUAUAUAUAGAGCGAGCGAGCGAGCGAGAGAGAGAGAGAGAGAGAGAGAGAGAGAGAGAGAGAGAGAGAGAGAGAGAGAGAGAGUCUUAUAGUUGGAUUUUACUGUACAACGUUCUGCUGCAAGGAGAGAGACUAAUCCAGUUUAUGCAUGAACCUGCACUGUCGAUGCUUUCGACUGCUGUAAUUUCCAUGGUUUAUGAUUCCCUCUUAUCAGUCCAGAAGUCGAUCAUCGAUCCUAAAUCAGGAGACAAAUUGCGAAUCUUGACACUUGUGAGGAGAGAUUACCAUAUCGAAAGUCCUCGAUCAUGUUGGAUCUCUGUGCUUCCUCCUGCAAGAAAACAUUUAGAUUUGUUGUGGGUUGAUGAUUAAGUGACAGGGGAUUAAUUUUCCUACCAAAUUUCGCUCUUAAUGUUUCCAAAUUCCAUAUUCAAUUAGCUUCUUAGAAAUUAAAUUAUCCCAAUUUAAUUACGUGCCUGCAUUUGUUUUUUUAUUAAUAAGUGUUCUAAUCCUACUUAAAUGGAUUAAGUAUUCAUUGGUAUCUGAAAAAUCCGAUCCGCUAUCGCCGUAUUCGUCGCUCGCUGCCUUUGUGAUGAUUGGAACAAGUGGUGGAUGGAGCCCAUUGCGUAUCCAAAGGCCAUAUUAAUCACACAUGAUUGGCCACGGCCCACGAUUCCCUGGAUUAAUUGACUACCUACCCUUUUGAUGAUUGGUCGACCAAGUGGAGCCCAUUGCGGAGCCACAGGUGGGUCGAGUUCGGAGGUUCCCCCUAAUUAAUCACAAAUGAGAGAACUCCAUCGCGAUUCUGUAUAUUAGAUCGUACAGCUACCCUUGCGAUGAUUGGAAGACCAGGUGGAGCCCAUUUGGCUAGAUAACGUGGGUAAUUGGAGGCAAGAGUUAGGUAGUGUCGAGCAAGAAGGCGGAGAUCCGCCUGUUGGGCUCUAUGGGCUACAGGGCCUCCGCCGCCGCCCUGUCCGAGCCCUUCUUGGCCUUGGUCUCUCGUUGCCUUCUUCGUCUUUCUUGUGCUGGCUGGUCUCCUCUCCCUCCUCUCCGUUUGGAGUCGCCUGGUGAGCGCCUCCUCUACCUUUCUUGAUAUGUCUUGUGGUUCUUGAAUCGAGGAUCUUCGAAGUUCGCCUUCCCUAUGCCGGCUGGCCUCAUCUCCCUCCCCUCGCUUUGGAAUCGCCUGGUGAGCUCCUAAUCUACCUUCAUCGAUACGUCUUGCGGUUCUUGAAUCGAGGAUCUUUGGAGUCACCUGGUGAGCACCUCCUCUACCUUUCUUGAUACACCUUGUAGUUCUCGAGUCGAGAAUCUCUGCUGUCUGGCUGGCCUCCUCUCCCUUGGAGUAGGCUGGUAUAUGUCUUGUAGUUCUUGAAUCGAGGAUCCUGGAGUUGCCUGAUGAUCUCCUCCUUCUCUGCCUUUUCUGCUAUGCUUGAUCUGUCUCCUGGUUCUUGAAUUGGGUGUGUUUUCGAUCCUUUUCGAUGAUAAAGAAGUGAUCUUUGGUCUAACAAUGGCUAGUUGCGCACCAUUGCCUUUAUCUUUGGAAUUCAGUUGCCAUUGUUUAGCAUUUUGGUUGCUGGAGUUCAUGGAAGGGACGAUCAUUGAGAUAUUUGCCAUUUCCAAUAUCUUGCAGGCCCACAUGUUGAUACAAAUUAAGUUUAGGAAGAAAGAGAUGCUCACAUGUCGAACAUUAGGCAAGACAGUAGGUUGCAUCAAUUAUUUUUUCUCCUGUUUUACUGUUGGGAAGCAAUUUACUGUAUGUAUAUUACAUGCUUGACUCCAUAACAGUGUCCAAUUUUGCAAACCCCAAUGACUGCUUGAUCUAAAAUGUUUUCUGCUGAAAUUUAUUUAGACAAUAGCUUCUUGAUUCUGAUAAUGUAGCACCUCAAUUCAACAACUGAGCUUGGCAAAAUAUGGUUGCUUGAUCUUCGGUGAAAUUCCAUCGACUAUAAUAUUGAAUAUCGAAAUGUUAUAGAAGUUGUGUAUUCAAGUUUUUGGAGAAAGGUCCACCCAAUAACACUUUCAUGUUAAGUUAGAUUCCUGAAACAUAUGGUUUGUGUUUUACGGUCUGAUCGAGUUCGAUCAACUCCAGCUUAUUUCAACCGAUUCUAUUUAAUAGGGCUGAGAAAUCGACCAUAGAUGGGACCAGUGUGAAGUGAAGAAAUUGUAGUAGAAUAAUAAAAUUCAUGAUUAUGCUAUUGUUAUGCGAAAAACUUUAAUGUUACAAACUGAAAUCAAAUAACGAUAAAUCAAAUAUACGAUGCAUACCUUUCGAUGUCAUUCAAAAUGCCUUUAUAUGAUCUAUAGACAUCAUCAUCGGAUUUGAAAGCUACAGCAAUGUCGAUUUGUAAGGAAGAUUAGAUUCGUCUUUUUCUCCCUUUGUAUCUUUCAUGGGAUCGCUAUGAGCGAUGGUUUCAGGACUAAGACGGAUGGAGAAUAUAUUUGUAAUCUCAGAUGUUUCGUCCCUAGGAGGUUCUCUUCUUUUAUAGAUGAAAAGCAGAGGAUCUAGAAUGAUAAUUAGGCGAGUCCCUCCUAUCGAGAUCAUCUCGUAAGAAAUUAUAUUUUAAUUAGAUUUUUUUAUUGGUCUAUAAUCAUAGUCAUAAUCUAAUCAGGCAUAUAGUAUAUCUUAAUUAGAUAGGACCAUAUGAUCUAAUAAGUAUUAGUUGCCUUGUUUCCGGUGAAGAUCUAGCUGAUCCAUGUAGGAUCUAAAGCAUAUUUCUCUUGGCAAGUGCUGUGCAUCCUGCUUCUAUCCCGGUGAACUUCAUUCUUUACCUGUUUGUCUUGCAGGUUAGCACAGAGAGGAACCAGCAAGCAAUUAAGAAGAAAUAGACCAUGUCAAGAAGCAUGUGACGAGCUUCGCUGCCCUAGAUUUCCUAGUAUGCUUGCGGUUGGAUGUGUUUGUGAUGACCAGCCGUGGUGGCAAUUUCGCCAAGCUGGAUGAUAGGAGAUCAUUGAUUGCUGCAUGGGCCACCGAUUGAAGUCGAUAAAGCCCCCAAAUCCUUGGGGGAGGAUGUUGUGAUAACCCACCAUAUGCGGACUGGCCUUCCUGGAAAAACCUUCCCCAACUAUGACCAAUGGGAGAAUCUGCUAACUACGUUCAUGCGUAGAGCUGGGCUGCUGCUUCUUGUAUCGUCCGUUGUCCAUUUUCCCAUUUGGUCAAUCUGUUUUUUUUGUCCUUGCAUAGUCUUUGUUUCGUCUGUGAUUUAUAACUAAAUUUAGGCCUUGAACUCCGUUGUCUCGGAGAGAAAAGAUAGACAUGUGGUAGUGGUAAAGAUUGCGCAAACUUUGUUCUAACAGUGGAAUUUGUUGUUCA